Molecule: ribosomal RNA, 29 nt
Filed under: Boronia pilosa
Lineage: Eukaryota; Viridiplantae; Streptophyta; Magnoliopsida; Sapindales; Rutaceae
Description: partial 26S ribosomal RNA
Source: RNAcentral
CGCGACCCCAGGUCAGGCGGGAUUACCCG